Molecule: long non-coding RNA, 795 nt
Filed under: Sinocyclocheilus grahami
Lineage: Eukaryota; Metazoa; Chordata; Actinopteri; Cypriniformes; Cyprinidae
Description: lncRNA (ENSSGRG00000048105.1)
Source: RNAcentral
GAGCGAUAAGGAACAGCUGUUAGGCUACCCGUAAUCACUGAUGGCUGUGUUUUACCCACUGUAGAACUCAGAAUGAGAAAUAUGAAGAUUGCAGAAUGCUUGGAUGUGAGCACAGUUUAUCCCAUCACCACCACGAUCCCUGCUGAUUCCUGUCCUGCUGUAGAAGAAUUAACUGUUCCCUGGACUGUGAUUGGCCUUUCUCUUAUUAGUGUCACCAAAGUCAUUCUUUGCAUUGUAACUGUGGGGGUGUGUGAUCGAGUCAUAUUUAGAACAGUAAGAAGAAAUCAGGAAGUAAGGGGAAGCAAGACUGGAAGGUCAAGCUGGAAAGACUGAGAUUCACAAAAAGCUGAUGGGGUCAUUUUAGUUUUACGCAUCCAUUAGCCAAGUUAAAACAGUCCAAGCCUGUAAACAUUUACAAGGUUGUUCACACCAUUAGGUGUGUUGAUAGGAUCCGUUUUAUUUCUGUGUGGUUUUGCUAUUCUUAAUGACUUUUUAUGGAUGGCUUAUUCCUAGGGGAGGAAGGACGGGCUGUAAUGGGAGCUGUUUUAUAGCUGUUGAGGGAGACAAGAGUCAUGGAGGGUUGCAAUUCAUUAGAUUCAGCAAUUCAGCUGCACACUGUUGCCUUUUGUUUGUUUUUACAUNNNNNNNNNNNNNNNNUUUUUUUUUUUUUUUUUUUCCCCCCCCCCCCCCCCCCCCCCAUAUGUUAUAAUUGUAUAUCCUCUAUAAAUAUUUUUUUACUGUCUGUAUCACAUUUAUGUACUUUAUGAAUCUUAAGGUUUAUUACUAGGGCUGCCA